This 514-nucleotide ribosomal RNA is filed under the name uncultured microorganism. RNAcentral describes it as "bacterial SSU rRNA". It matches the Rfam family "Bacterial small subunit ribosomal RNA", at positions 9 to 511 of the family's 1533-position model. The record is from RNAcentral.
GAGUUUGAUCGUGGCUCAGGAUGAGCGCUGGCGGCGUGCCUAACACAUGCAAGUCGAACGGAGUUUAUGAGGAAGAAGCUUCGGCGGAAUUCUUAUAAACUUAGUGGCGGACGGGUGAGUAACACGUGGAGAACCUGCCUCUUACCGGGGGACAGCAGUUGGAAACGACUGAUAAUACCGCAUAAGCGCACGAGACCGCAUGGUCCUGUGUGAAAAGAUUUAUCGGUAAGAGAUGGCUCCGCGUCUGAUUAGCCAGUUGGCGGGGUAACGGCCCACCAAAGCGACGAUCAGUAGCCGGCCUGAGAGGGUGAACGGCCACAUUGGGACUGAGACACGGCCCAGACUCCUACGGGAGGCAGCAGUGGGGGAUAUUGCACAAUGGAGGAAACUCUGAUGCAGCGACGCCGCGUGAGUGAAGAAGUAUUUCGGUAUGUAAAGCUCUAUCAGCAGGGAAGAAAGACUCGAAAGAGGGAUGACGGUACCUGAGUAAGAAGCCCGGCUAACUACCUGCCAG